Molecule: ribosomal RNA, 413 nt
Filed under: uncultured bacterium
Lineage: Bacteria
Description: partial 16S ribosomal RNA
Rfam family: Bacterial small subunit ribosomal RNA
Source: RNAcentral
UGGGGAAUAUUGCACAAUGGGCGCAAGCCUGAUGCAGCCAUGCCGCGUGUGUGAAGAAGGCCUUCGGGUUGUAAAGCACUUUCAGCGAGGAGGAAGGGUAGUGUGUUAAUAGCACAUUGCAUUGACGUUACUCGCAGAAGAAGCACCGGCUAACUCCGUGCCAGCAGCCGCGGUAAUACGGAGGGUGCAAGCGUUAAUCGGAAUUACUGGGCGUAAAGCGCACGCAGGCGGUUUGUUAAGUCAGAUGUGAAAUCCCCGCGCUUAACGUGGGAACUGCAUUUGAAACUGGCAAGCUAGAGUCUUGUAGAGGGGGGUAGAAUUCCAGGUGUAGCGGUGAAAUGCGUAGAGAUCUGGAGGAAUACCGGUGGCGAAGGCGGCCCCCCUGGACAAAGACUGACGCUCAGGUGCGAAAG